CCGCACCAGAGCGCUCAGGACAUCAGACUGGGGUGUAGGUUCACCUUCCCACCGGACAAUGACACUAAGCACACAGCCAAGACCACACAGGAGUGGCUUCGGGGUAAGUCUCUGAAUGUCCUUGAGUGGCUCAGCCAGAGCCUGGACUGGAACCCAACCGAACAUUUCUGGAGAGAACUAAAAAUAGCUGAGCAGCAACAUUCCCCAUGCAACCUGAUUGAGCUUCAGAGGAUCUGCAGAGAAUAAUGGGAGAAACUCACCAAAUACAGGAUGUCGGUGGGCCGAGCUGUGAGAGUCUUCAGCGAAAUGGAACACACCUGGGCUCGGAUGUGUCCCGGGGUUAAAUACACCUUUCCCCCAUACAUCGAGGUCACUCUCCAUGCAGACACACUGUUGUCUUUUUUUGUGGCAUUUUGGGGCGUCUUUGUUUUUGUUUUGGCACCUCUCAACACCCCUCAUUAUCACCAUCUAUGCACUCAUCCUUUCACUUACAAUACUGACUACACACGCCAUUGUUAUUUGUAUAUAGGUUACUUUAUUUAAUAAAUAUACGUUACUUAUUUCUUUA
Long non-coding RNA from Oncorhynchus nerka (sockeye salmon), 568 nucleotides. RefSeq lists it as uncharacterized. The record is from RefSeq and is a predicted model, not a curated record. NCBI's taxonomy places the organism in Eukaryota, Metazoa, Chordata, Actinopteri, Salmoniformes, Salmonidae. The transcript has 2 exons.